GCCGGCGUCCAGCGUGGCGAGGGCGCUGGACACGUUCACCGUCCCGCCGGCGGCCACGGUGACGGUGUCGACGUUCAUGUCGCCGGCGCCGGCG
RNAcentral lists this transfer RNA (94 nucleotides) under Alienimonas californiensis. Its description in RNAcentral is "Planctomycetes bacterium CA12 tRNA-Glu". Lineage: Bacteria; Pseudomonadati; Planctomycetota; Planctomycetia; Planctomycetales; Planctomycetaceae. The record is from RNAcentral.